RNAcentral lists this ribosomal RNA (253 nucleotides) under uncultured bacterium. RNAcentral's name for it is "partial 16S ribosomal RNA". It matches the Rfam family "Bacterial small subunit ribosomal RNA", at positions 524 to 776 of the family's 1533-position model. The record is from RNAcentral.
UACGUAGGGGGCAAGCGUUGUCCGGAAUCAUUGGGCGGAAAGCGCGUGUAGGCGGCUCGAUAAGUCUGCUGUGAAAGUCCAGGGCUCAACCCUGGGAUGCCGGUGGAUACUGUCGAGCUCGAGUCCGGAAGAGGCGAGUGGAAUUCCUGGUGUAGCGGUGAAAUGCGCAGAUAUCAGGAGGAACACCAAUGGCGAAGGCAGCUCGCUGGGACGGUACUGACGCUGAGACGCGAAAGCGUGGGGAGCAAACAGG